UGGGGAAUUUUGCACAAUGGAGGAAACUCUGAUGCAGCGACGCCGCGUGAGUGAUGAAGAUCUUCGGAUUGUAAAACUCUGUCCUUAGUGAAGAUAAUGACAGUAACUAAGAAGCAAGCCCUGGCUAAAUACGUGCCAGCAGCCGCGGUAAUACGUAUGGGGCGAGCGUUGUCCGGAAUUAUUGGGCGUAAAGGGUACGUAGGCGGUUUAAUAAGUCCUAAUUAAAAGGCUAUGGCUCAACCAUAGUAUGGUUAGGAAACUGUUGAACUUGAGUAGAUGAGGGGAAAGUGGAAUUCCAUGUGUAGCGGUGAAAUGCGUAGAUAUAUGGAGGAACACCAAUGGCGAAGGCAACUUUCUGGAAUCAAACUGACGCUGAGGUACGAAGGCGUGGGGAGCAAACAGG
This 403-nucleotide ribosomal RNA is filed under the name Fusobacteriota bacterium. Its description in RNAcentral is "Fusobacteria bacterium partial 16S ribosomal RNA". It matches the Rfam family "Bacterial small subunit ribosomal RNA", at positions 355 to 776 of the family's 1533-position model. The record is from RNAcentral. Lineage: Bacteria; Fusobacteriati; Fusobacteriota.